AGGUCCAGCCUGCCCAGUGAAUUUUUAACGGCCGCGGUAUCCUAACCGCGCGAAGGUAGCAUAAUCACUUGUUCUUUAAAUGGGGACUCGUAUCAACGGCAUCACGAGGGUUUUACUGUCUCCUCUUUUUGAUCAGUGAAAUUGAUCUUCCCGUGAAGAAGCGGGAAUACUCAUAUAAGACGAGAAGACCCCAUGGAGCUUAAAACCAAAUGGUAACUUAACCACAUAUUUCCUUAUAACUUUAAGCCUAUACUAUGAGGUUUUUGGUUGGGGUGACCGCGGAGUAAAACAUAUCCUCCACGACGGAAAGACUACAAUCUUUAUUUAAGAACCACAGUUCUAAAAAUUAGCAUACUAACGUUUACUGACCCGAUAAUCGAUCAACGGAACAAGUUACCCUGGGGAUAACAGCGCAAUCUACUUCAAGAGCCCAUAUCGACGAGUAGGCUUACGACCUCGAUGUUGGAUCAGGGUAUCCCAGUGGUGCAGCCAUUACUGAAGGUUC
Molecule: ribosomal RNA, 505 nt
Filed under: Polypedates mutus (Burmese whipping frog)
Lineage: Eukaryota; Metazoa; Chordata; Amphibia; Anura; Rhacophoridae
Description: partial 16S ribosomal RNA
Rfam family: Bacterial large subunit ribosomal RNA
Source: RNAcentral